Molecule: unclassified non-coding RNA, 257 nt
Filed under: uncultured fungus
Lineage: Eukaryota; Fungi
Description: sequence contains ITS1
Rfam family: 5.8S ribosomal RNA (bases 1-115)
Source: RNAcentral
UGAAAGGCGAAACGUAAUGUGAAUCGCAACUAACAGUGAAUCAUCGAAUCUUUGAACGCAGGCCGCGCCUUGCAUAUCACUUGUGUUAUCGCAAGGCAUCUACGUAUGAGUGUCAGCCUAAUAUACUUUUGGUUUAAUGGUAAUUUAUUUACUAUUAAAUACAUUAUGCGAGUAUUUUUUUUUUAUAAAAGAAUACACGCGUUUAACAAUAAAAGUAUGUCUGGCCUCAUAUGUGGAAGGUUACCCGCUGGAUUUAA